GGAGGGUGCAAGCGUUAAUCGGAAUUACUGGGCGUAAAGCGCACGCAGGCGGUUGGAUAAGUUAGAUGUGAAAGCCCCGGGCUCAACCUGGGAAUUGCAUUUAAAACUGUCCAGCUAGAGUCUUGUAGAGGGGGGUAGAAUUCCAGGUGUAGCGGUGAAAUGCGUAGAGAUCUGGAGGAAUACCGGUGGCGAAGGCGGCCCCCUGGACAAAGACUGACGCUCAGGUGCGAAAGCGUGGGGAGCAAACAGGAUUAGAUACCCUGGUAGUCCACGCCGUAAACGAUGUCGAUUUGGAGGCUGUGUCCUUGAGACGUGGCUUCCGGAGCUAACGCGUUAAAUCGACCGCCUGGGGAGUACGGCCGCAAGGUUG
Molecule: ribosomal RNA, 370 nt
Filed under: uncultured bacterium
Lineage: Bacteria
Description: bacterial SSU rRNA
Rfam family: Bacterial small subunit ribosomal RNA
Source: RNAcentral